RNAcentral lists this ribosomal RNA (406 nucleotides) under uncultured bacterium. Its description in RNAcentral is "partial 16S ribosomal RNA". It matches the Rfam family "Bacterial small subunit ribosomal RNA", at positions 30 to 526 of the family's 1533-position model. The record is from RNAcentral.
AUUGAACGCUGGCGGCAGGCCUAACACCUGCAAGUCGAACGAGUGGCGGACGGGUGAGUAAUGUCUGGGAAACUGCCUGAUGGAGGGGGAUAACUACUGGAAACGGUAGCUAAUACCGCAUACCAUCGGAUGUGCCCAGAUGGGAUUAGCUAGUAGGUGGGGUAACGGCUCACCUAGGCGACGAUCCCUAGCUGGUGUGAGAGGAUGACCAGCCACACUGGAACUGAGACACGGUCCAGAAUCGUACGGGAGGCAGCAGUGGGGAAUAGUGGACAAUGGGCGAAAGCCUGAUGCAGCCAUGCCGCGGGUGUGAAGAAGGUCUUCGGAUUGUAAAGCACUUUAAGGUGGGAGGCGUUACCAACAGAAUAAGCACCGGCUAACUUCGUGCCAGCAGCCGCGGUAAUUC